GACGAACGCUGGCGGCGUGCUUAACAGAUGCAAGUCGAACGGUAAGGCCCUUCGGGGUACACGAGUGGCGAACGGGUGAGUAACACGUGGGUGAUCUGCCCUGCACUUCGGGAUAAGCCUGGGAAACUGGGUCUAAUACCGGAUAGGACCACUGCCUGCAUGGGUGGUGGUGGAAAGCUUUUGCGGUGUGGGAUGGGCCCGCGGCCUAUCAGCUUGUUGGUGGGGUGAUGGCCUACCAAGGCGACGACGGGUAGCCGGCCUGGGAGGGUGACCGGCCACACUGGGACUGAGAUACGGCCCAGACUCCUACGGGGGGCAGCAGUGGGGAAUAUUGCACAAUGGGCGCAAGCCUGAUGCAGCGACGCCGCGUGGGGGAUGACGGCCUUCGGGUUGUAAACCUCUUUCAGCACCGACGAAGCGCAAGUGACGGUAGGUGCAGAAGAAGGACCGGCCAACUACGUGCCAGCCGCCGCCGUAA
This 478-nucleotide ribosomal RNA is filed under the name uncultured bacterium. RNAcentral's name for it is "partial 16S ribosomal RNA". It matches the Rfam family "Bacterial small subunit ribosomal RNA", at positions 28 to 523 of the family's 1533-position model. The record is from RNAcentral.